CCCCGAUUCCUGCAGACACCGCCUAAUUUUAUUUUAAGUUAUAUCCGUCAUUUUCAUAUCCGUCGAAAAGGAAAGGGACGGAUGAUUCACAGCUCUUAAUUUUAGGAAGAAUGAGUAAAUGAAUGAAUAACCCGGGCGAAUCAAAAAGUACGUCGCUGGUAUGCAAUCCGCUUGACGUGCUGUCUACUUAACUGUGUCGGGUUAUUGACGGAUGUAAAAUUUUUAGACGGUUGGUUUAGAUUUGUGCUUAAAAUUGACGUGUGUUCCAUAAAUUUUAUGCUUGUCGAUUACCCGUCCCUUUCCUUUUCGGCGGAUAAGAAAAUGACAGAUACAACUUAAAAUAAAAUUAGAUGGUAUUUACA
Long non-coding RNA from Pectinophora gossypiella (pink bollworm), 362 nucleotides. RefSeq lists it as uncharacterized. The transcript has 2 exons. The record is from RefSeq and is a predicted model, not a curated record. NCBI's taxonomy places the organism in Eukaryota, Metazoa, Arthropoda, Insecta, Lepidoptera, Gelechiidae.